UACGAAGGGGCUAGCGUUGCUCGGAAUCACUGGGCGUAAAGGGUGCGUAGGCGGGUCUUUAAGUCAGGGGUGAAAUCCUGGAGCUCAACUCCAGAACUGCCUUUGAUACUGAAGAUCUUGAGUUCGGGAGAGGUGAGUGGAACUGGCGAGUGUAGAGGUGAAAUUCGUAGAUAUUCGCAAGAACACCAGUGGCGAAGGCGGCUCACUGGCCCGAUACUGACGCUGAGGUGCGAAAGCGUGGGGAGCAAACAGGGAUAGAAACCCCAGUA
Molecule: ribosomal RNA, 269 nt
Filed under: uncultured bacterium
Lineage: Bacteria
Description: partial 16S ribosomal RNA
Rfam family: Bacterial small subunit ribosomal RNA
Source: RNAcentral